Molecule: ribosomal RNA, 497 nt
Filed under: uncultured bacterium
Lineage: Bacteria
Description: partial 16S ribosomal RNA
Rfam family: Bacterial small subunit ribosomal RNA
Source: RNAcentral
GAUGAACGCUGGCGGCGUGCCUAAUACAUGCAAGUCGAGCGAACAGAUGAGGAGCUUGCUCCUCUGACGUUAGCGGCGGACGGGUGAGUAACACGUGGAUAACCUACCUAUAAGACUGGGAUAACUUCGGGAAACCGGAGCUAAUACCGGAUAAUAUAUUGAACCGCAUGGUUCAAUAGUGAAAGACGGUUUUGCUGUCACUUAUAGAUGGAUCCGCGCCGCAUUAGCUAGUUGGUAAGGUAACGGCUUACCAAGGCAACGAUGCGUAGCCGACCUGAGAGGGUGAUCGGCCACACUGGAACUGAGACACGGUCCAGACUCCUACGGGAGGCAGCAGUAGGGAAUCUUCCGCAAAGGGCGAAAGCCUGACGGAGCAACGCCGCGUGAGUGAUGAAGGUCUUUGGAUCGUAAAACUCUGUUAUUAGGGAAGAACAAAUGUGUAAGUAACUAUGCACGUCUUGACGGUACCUAAUCAGAAAGCCACGGCUAACUACGUG